RNAcentral lists this ribosomal RNA (373 nucleotides) under uncultured organism. RNAcentral's name for it is "partial 16S ribosomal RNA". It matches the Rfam family "Bacterial small subunit ribosomal RNA", at positions 527 to 896 of the family's 1533-position model. The record is from RNAcentral.
AGAGGGUGCGAGCGUUAAUCGGAAUCACUGGGCGUAAAGGGCACGUAGGUGGAAUGUUAAGUAUUCUGUGAAAUCCCCGGGGCUUAACCUGGGCCUGUCAGAAUAGACUGGCAUUCUAGAGUACGGUAGAGGGAAGUGGAAUUUCCGGUGUAGCGGUGAAAUGCGUAGAUAUCGGAAGGAACACCAGUGGCGAAGGCGUCUUCCUGGACCGAGACUGACACUGAAGAGCGAAAGCGUGGGGAGCAAACAGGAUUAGAUACCCUGGUAGUCCACGCUGUAAACGAUGAGUACUAGAUGUUGGGCAGCACAGAACUGCCGAGUAUCGAAGCAAACGCGUUAAGUACUCCGCCUGGGAAGUACGGCCGCAAGGUUA